GCCUGUGUGGCUCAGUUGUUCAAGCAUCUGACUUCAGCUCAGGUCAUGAUCUCAUGGUUUGUGAGUUCGAGCCCCACGUCAGGCU
This 85-nucleotide transfer RNA is filed under the name Felis catus (domestic cat). It matches the Rfam family "tRNA". From Rfam's summary of the family: Transfer RNA (tRNA) molecules are approximately 80 nucleotides in length. Their secondary structure includes four short double-helical elements and three loops (D, anti-codon, and T loops). RNAcentral also lists the same sequence under 3 other names. Lineage: Eukaryota; Metazoa; Chordata; Mammalia; Carnivora; Felidae. The record is from Rfam by way of RNAcentral.